RNAcentral lists this long non-coding RNA (237 nucleotides) under Setaria viridis. RNAcentral describes it as "long non-coding RNA (SVIR_LNC001488)". Lineage: Eukaryota; Viridiplantae; Streptophyta; Magnoliopsida; Poales; Poaceae. The record is from RNAcentral.
UAUAAGUUCAGAUUCGCAGUGCCUUAUGAGCCUGCCCUCUUUUAUUAUAGUUUUCAGUCUGUGUCACAAAGCUAGAUUUCACUUGAACACAUCCAAUACAUAUUGUGCAAGAUAUUUACAGUUCUACACUGUUGAGCGGCCUGAGUACUAUAAGACUUUCCAGCAAUUAUCACAACGAUGAUAACCUGACAAGUAUUUCCUUUGAGGCGUGUACAUGUUAUCUCCUUUCACCCCCAC